UCUCUACUGCUUAGUAAUCAGCAUAUGCUUGUAACAAAGCAUGUCCGAGGUCAGAAAGAAUCACUCACAGGAUUAGAGGUUGACAGUGCUAUGAUCCUCCUUGUGUGUGUCUUUUGAAAUAAUGUACUCAGAUAUCAAAGCCUAGAGGAAAUUCUUUGUCAGAGUUGUUUGACCACCUCGGGAACAGUCCACUGAAAAUCUGAAAUUUAGGAAAAAUACUAUUUAGAGAGAGAGAGACAGAGCAUGAGCGGAGGAGGAGAAGAGAGAGAGGGAG
Long non-coding RNA from Herpailurus yagouaroundi (jaguarundi), 274 nucleotides. RefSeq lists it as uncharacterized. Lineage: Eukaryota; Metazoa; Chordata; Mammalia; Carnivora; Felidae. The record is from RefSeq and is a predicted model, not a curated record. The transcript is spliced from 3 exons.